UACGGAGCAGCAGUGGGGAAUAUUGCACAAUGGGCGCAAGCCUGAUGCAGCCAUGCCGCGUGUAUGAAAAAGGCCUUCGGGUUGUAAAGUACUUUCAGUCGUGAGGAAGGUGUUAAGGUUAAUAACCUUAGCAAUUGACGUUAGCGACAGAAGAAGCACCGGCUAACUCCGUGCCAGCAGCCGCGGUAAUACGGAGGGUGCGAGCGUUAAUCGGAAUUACUGGGCGUAAAGGGCACGCAGGCGGUUAAUUAAGUUGGAUGUGAAAUCCCCGGGCUUAACCUGGGAAUGGCAUUCAAGACUGGUUAGCUAGAGUCUUGUAGAGGGGGUAGAAUUCCAUGUGUAGCGGUGAAAUGCGUAGAGAUGUGGAGGAAUACCGGUGGCGAAGGCGGCCCCUGGACAAAGACUGACGCUCAUGUGCGAAAGCGUGGGGAGCAAACAGGGAUUAGAUACC
RNAcentral lists this ribosomal RNA (451 nucleotides) under uncultured bacterium. Its description in RNAcentral is "bacterial SSU rRNA". It matches the Rfam family "Bacterial small subunit ribosomal RNA", at positions 340 to 786 of the family's 1533-position model. The record is from RNAcentral.